This 253-nucleotide ribosomal RNA is filed under the name uncultured bacterium. Its description in RNAcentral is "partial 16S ribosomal RNA". It matches the Rfam family "Bacterial small subunit ribosomal RNA", at positions 524 to 776 of the family's 1533-position model. The record is from RNAcentral.
UACGUAGGGUGCGAGCGUUAAUCGGAAUUACUGGGCGUAAAGCGUGCGCAGGCGGUUUUGUAAGCCAGAUGUGAAAUCCCCGGGCUUAACCUGGGAAUGGCAUUUGGGACUGCAAGGCUCGAGUGCGGCAGAGGAGACUGGAAUUCCUGGUGUAGCAGUGAAAUGCGUAGAUAUCAGGAGGAACACCGAUGGCGAAGGCAGCUCGCUGGGACGGUACUGACGCUGAGACGCGAAAGCGUGGGGAGCAAACAGG